UCUAACAUACAUCCUCUAUCCCCAAACCCAAGCCCAUAGGCAAUUAGGAAGAAUUGUAUACAAUUGGCUGGGAAGAGGAGUUGAACACUCAGGUGUGCAUCCCAUGAUCCUCUCUGUUCUUUCCUUUUGAGAUGGAAAGUAGUCAGGCCUGUCUGUGAUGAGUUUGAGAGCAGGCCCAGCCGAGCUCUUGAAGAGUUCCAGAGGAUUGUAAAACAAGGUCUUACCUGGGUAAUCUGAGAUCAUCUCCUUAUCUCAAAAACACUUAAUUAUAUUACAUCAAAAAGACUUUUAUUUCAAAUACACUAACAUUUCAGGUUCCAAGGAUUAAGCCUUCAUAUCUUGGUGGCAGAUCAGGGUGGGGAUUUUUUUAGCCUACCUUAGGAAUUUAGCUUAAGGCUGUUUGUUACUAAAUCAAGGUUCUUGACCUCUUCUGAGAAAGUGGGGUGGAGGAUACUGAGAAUAGAAAAAAAGAAAAUGCUCAGAUUUUAUCAGGAGUUUCUGCAGGUUCCUAUGAUCCUCUACAAUCUGUCUGUAAAUACAACAGAUUAAACAUGCCAGUAUAGUAAAUACUUUCCAAUCUGGGAACACUGGACCACGUAAUCUGUUCACACUUCCUUCUUUGCUCUCCCCUUCUCAUGGAUUCCUAACCUGAAACAGGUUUUCCCUUCUACUCUGGUUGUUUGAUCAAGUGUCUUAUGUUGGCCAAUAGACGAAAAGCAGAAGUGACAUCACAUCAAUUUGAUAUUGAGGCCUUCAUGGCGUGACAGGCUUGUCCUGAUUGUCUUGAGGCUCCCCUGUCUAUCAUGGAAAGACCUUAUUUCAGGUACUUAUCAACUCUGUUUAUUGUCAGCCUGGAGGGAAGACUGCGGAACAAACUUGAGCUUCUCCCAAAGCUGGGGGCGUCCAGAAGGCCCAGACAACUCCUAAUGAAGCAAGUUUACCUGAAUGUUUAUGAGCAUGAAGUAAUUUUUCAUAGUUGUGCUUCAAUGAGAUUUGGGGGAUGUUUGUUGGGUAGCAGUGACACAAGAGCUGAAGAAUGCAUUGUGCUGUAUUUGCAUAUCUGCCUGCUUUGCAGCUCUAGAAAGUUGUACUGGAUAAUGUAUAGAGAACCUCCAAGUGCCCAUUAUUAUGUUCUCAUAAAAUCCUGGACUGCCAGUGAAUAUGCCAGCUCCUUAUUUCUUUUAUCUUGAUGGUCCUAGAACAUGUUUCUAGAGGCUUCUCUAAGCCAAUUUCACUAGACCUUACCAAUAUGUAAAAUCAUAAUCAGCCAGAUAGCUCCUAUCGAUAAGAUAAGCCAGAUAAGCGACAUCAAAUUGCUUAUAAAUUCAAAAACAAAAUAGGCUAAAUGAAACAGUUCCCUCUGUCAUUUAAAAGGGAACCUUAAUUUUGUGACAGCCAGGGAUAGAGGAAGUGAGAGAUGCCUGGAUUUUUUUCCCCUAGGAUCGGGAGGAAACCUCUUUUAAUAUUUUGGCUGUUGCUGAUUUCAGGAACUUACUAAAAUGCUGUAAAGGUCCAGAGAAUUCGAUGGUUCAAAUCUCAGGAUCAGCAGUUGGAAAACAUGCAACAAUCAUGCUGCCCUCAGCAACGGACACUGUGGGCAGAGCUUUGCUUCCAUUCAAUGAUGGGGCCAGGAAGAAAGAAGCUUAAAGUUGGCAGACAUCUGUUUCUUUCUGAAGCUCAAGGAUUUCUAGCUUUAUUAGGAGCAAUUCCUCCCUCCUUCCUGCUUCAUGGGUAGACAUCAUAUCCAAUAACUGCUAAUUUUUGUUGACUUAGUUGACUCUCAGCUUUGUACACAGGAGUUUUGCAUAAAACCCUACGUUGCAUAUUUAAAAA
Non-coding RNA from Rattus norvegicus (Norway rat), 1833 nucleotides. The record is from RefSeq and is a predicted model, not a curated record. Lineage: Eukaryota; Metazoa; Chordata; Mammalia; Rodentia; Muridae.